This 72-nucleotide transfer RNA is filed under the name bacterium. Its description in RNAcentral is "tRNA-Thr". It matches the Rfam family "tRNA". Rfam says of the family: Transfer RNA (tRNA) molecules are approximately 80 nucleotides in length. Their secondary structure includes four short double-helical elements and three loops (D, anti-codon, and T loops). The record is from RNAcentral.
GCCCAAGUAGCUCAGCGGUAGAGCGCGUCCUUGGUAAGGACGAGGUCGUCGGUUCAAUCCCGACCUUGGGCU